CCUUAGAGUUUGAUUCCUGGCUCAGUAAUGAACGUUGGCGGCGUGGAUUAGGCAUGCAAGUCGAAUGCGAAAGGGGGCAACCCCAAGUAGCAUGGCGAAAGGGGCAGUAACACCUAGGCAAUCUACCCUCGGGUCCGGGAUAUGCGGCGGAAACGCCGAGCAAUACUGGGAGUCGUUUGGGGACGGCAUCGUUCCUUGAUGAAAGGUCCGCUGCCCGAGGAGGAGCUUAGGUCCCAUCAGCUAGUUGGUAGGGUAACGGCCUACCAAGGCUCUGACGGGUAGAGGGUGUGAGAGCACGACCCUCGCCACUGGCACUGAGACACUGGCCAGACUCCUACGGGAGGCUGCAGUCGAGAAUCUUCGGCAAUGGGCGAAGCCUGACCGAGCGCGCCGCGUGGUGG
Molecule: ribosomal RNA, 401 nt
Filed under: uncultured bacterium
Lineage: Bacteria
Description: bacterial SSU rRNA
Rfam family: Bacterial small subunit ribosomal RNA
Source: RNAcentral